AUUGAACGCUGGCGGCAGGCCUAACACAUGCAAGUCGAGCGGUAGAGAGAAGCUUGCUUCUCUUGAGAGCGGCGGACGGGUGAGUAAUGCCUAGGAAUCUGCCUGGUAGUGGGGGAUAACGUUCGGAAACGGACGCUAAUACCGCAUACGUCCUACGGGAGAAAGCAGGGGACCUUCGGGCCUUGCGCUAUCAGAUGAGCCUAGGUCGGAUUAGCUAGUUGGUGGGGUAAUGGCUCACCAAGGCGACGAUCCGUAACUGGUCUGAGGGGAUGAUCAGUCACACUGGAACUGAGACACGGUCCAGACUCCUACGGGAGGCAGCAGCGGGGAAUAUUGGACAAUGGGCGAAAGCCUGAUCCAGCCAUGCCGCGUGUGUGAAGAAGGUCUUCGGAUUGUAAAGCACUUUAAGUUGGGAGGAAGGGCAGUAAAUUAAUACUUUGCUGUUUUGACGUUACCGACAGAAUAAGCACCGGCUAACUCUGUG
This 484-nucleotide ribosomal RNA is filed under the name uncultured bacterium. Its description in RNAcentral is "partial 16S ribosomal RNA". It matches the Rfam family "Bacterial small subunit ribosomal RNA", at positions 30 to 507 of the family's 1533-position model. The record is from RNAcentral.